This 270-nucleotide ribosomal RNA is filed under the name uncultured archaeon. RNAcentral's name for it is "partial 16S ribosomal RNA". It matches the Rfam family "Archaeal small subunit ribosomal RNA", at positions 477 to 747 of the family's 1478-position model. The record is from RNAcentral.
CUGCAGCCCGAGUGGUGAUCGAUUUUAUUGAGCCUAAAGCGUCCGUAGCCGGACUAGUAAACCCUUGGGUAAAUUGGGCAGCUUAACUGUCCAAAUUCCGAGGGGACUGCUAGUCUUGGGGCCGGGAGAGGUCAGAGGUACUCAAGGGGUAGGGGCUAAAUCCUGUAAUCCUUUGGGGACCACCAGUGGCGAAGGCGUCUGACUAGAACGGAUCCGACGGUAAGGGACGAAACCCUGGGGCGCGAACCGGAUUAGAUACCCGAGUAGUCC